This 203-nucleotide ribosomal RNA is filed under the name uncultured Prevotella sp. Its description in RNAcentral is "partial 16S ribosomal RNA". It matches the Rfam family "Bacterial small subunit ribosomal RNA", at positions 153 to 355 of the family's 1533-position model. Lineage: Bacteria; Pseudomonadati; Bacteroidota; Bacteroidia; Bacteroidales; Prevotellaceae. The record is from RNAcentral.
GUACGGACGUAAUAACCGUACUGAUAUCCUAUGCAGGCAUCUAACUAGGAUUAAAGGUUUAGCGGUAAGGGAUGGGGAUGCGUCUGAUUAGGCAGUUGGCGGGGUAACGGCCCACCAAACCGACGAUCAGUAGGGGUUCUGAGAGGAAGGUCCCCCACAUUGGAACUGAGACACGGUCCAAACUCCUACGGGAGGCAGCAGCA